RNAcentral lists this ribosomal RNA (1829 nucleotides) under Shigella sonnei. RNAcentral's name for it is "partial 23S ribosomal RNA". It matches the Rfam family "Bacterial large subunit ribosomal RNA", at positions 347 to 2164 of the family's 2925-position model. The record is from RNAcentral. Lineage: Bacteria; Pseudomonadati; Pseudomonadota; Gammaproteobacteria; Enterobacterales; Enterobacteriaceae.
AAGGCGCGCGAUACAGGGUGACAGCCCCGUACACAAAAAUGCACAUAUUGUGAGCUCGAUGAGUAGGGCGGGACACGUGGUAUCCUGUCUGAAUAUGGGGGGCCCAUCCUCCAAGGCUAAAUACUCCUGACUGACCGAUAGUGAACCAGUACCGUGAGGGAAAGGCGAAAAGAACCCCGGCGAGGGGAGUGAAAAAGAACCUGAAACCGUGUACGUACAAGCAGUGGGAGCACGCUUAGGCGUGUGACUGCGUACCUUUUGUAUAAUGGGUCAGCGACUUAUAUUCUGUAGCAAGGUUAACCGAAUAGGGGAGCCGAAGGGAAACCGAGUCUUAACUGGGCGUUAAGUUGCAGGGUAUAGACCCGAAACCCGGUGAUCUAGCCAUGGGCAGGUUGAAGGUUGGGUAACACUAACUGGAGGACCGAACCGACUAAUGUUGAAAAAUUAGCGGAUGACUUGUGGCUGGGGGUGAAAGGCCAAUCAAACCGGGAGAUAGCUGGUUCUCCCCGAAAGCUAUUUAGGUAGCGCCUCGUGAAUUCAUCUCCGGGGGUAGAGCACUGUUUCGGCAAGGGGGUCAUCCCGACUUACCAACCCGAUGCAAACUGCGAAUACCGGAGAAUGUUAUCACGGGAGACACACGGCGGGUGCUAACGUCCGUCGUGAAGAGGGAAACAACCCAGACCGCCAGCUAAGGUCCCAAAGUCAUGGUUAAGUGGGAAACGAUGUGGGAAGGCCCAGACAGCCAGGAUGUUGGCUUAGAAGCAGCCAUCAUUUAAAGAAAGCGUAAUAGCUCACUGGUCGAGUCGGCCUGCGCGGAAGAUGUAACGGGGCUAAACCAUGCACCGAAGCUGCGGCAGCGACGCUUAUGCGUUGUUGGGUAGGGGAGCGUUCUGUAAGCCUGCGAAGGUGUGCUGUGAGGCAUGCUGGAGGUAUCAGAAGUGCGAAUGCUGACAUAAGUAACGAUAAAGCGGGUGAAAAGCCCGCUCGCCGGAAGACCAAGGGUUCCUGUCCAACGUUAAUCGGGGCAGGGUGAGUCGACCCCUAAGGCGAGGCCGAAAGGCGUAGUCGAUGGGAAACAGGUUAAUAUUCCUGUACUUGGUGUUACUGCGAAGGGGGGACGGAGAAGGCUAUGUUGGCCGGGCGACGGUUGUCCCGGUUUAAGCGUGUAGGCUGGUUUUCCAGGCAAAUCCGGAAAAUCAAGGCUGAGGCGUGAUGACGAGGCACUACGGUGCUGAAGCAACAAAUGCCCUGCUUCCAGGAAAAGCCUCUAAGCAUCAGGUAACAUCAAAUCGUACCCCAAACCGACACAGGUGGUCAGGUAGAGAAUACCAAGGCGCUUGAGAGAACUCGGGUGAAGGAACUAGGCAAAAUGGUGCCGUAACUUCGGGAGAAGGCACGCUGAUAUGUAGGUGAAGUCCCUUGCGGAUGGAGCUGAAAUCAGUCGAAGAUACCAGCUGGCUGCAACUGUUUAUUAAAAACACAGCACUGUGCAAACACGAAAGUGGACGUAUACGGUGUGACGCCUGCCCGGUGCCGGAAGGUUAAUUGAUGGGGUCAGCGCAAGCGAAGCUCUUGAUCGAAGCCCCGGUAAACGGCGGCCGUAACUAUAACGGUCCUAAGGUAGCGAAAUUCCUUGUCGGGUAAGUUCCGACCUGCACGAAUGGCGUAAUGAUGGCCAGGCUGUCUCCACCCGAGACUCAGUGAAAUUGAACUCGCUGUGAAGAUGCAGUGUACCCGCGGCAAGACGGAAAGACCCCGUGAACCUUUACUAUAGCUUGACACUGAACAUUGAGCCUUGAUGUGUAGGAUAGGUGGGAGGCUUUGAAGUG